AGAGCGAACGCUGGCGGCAGGCCUAACACAUGCAAGUCGAGCGCCCCGCAAGGGGAGCGGCAGACGGGAGAGUAACACGUGGGAACGUACCCUUUGGUUCGGAACAACACAGGGAAACUUGUGCUAAUACCGGAUAAGCCCUUACGGGGAAAGAUUUAUCGCCAAAGGAUCGGCCCGCGUCUGAUUAGCUUGUUGGUGAGGUAACGGCUCACCAAGGCUACGAUCAGUAGCUGGUCUGAGAGGAUGAUCAGCCUCACUGGGACUGAGACACGGCCCAGACUCCUACGGGAGGCAGCAGUGGGGAAUAUUGGACAAUGGCGCAAGCCUGAUCCAGCCAUGCCGCGUGGAUGAUGAAGGCCCUAGGGUUGUAAAGUCCUUUCGACGGGGAAGAUAAUGACGGUACCCGUAGAAGAAGCCCCGGCUAACUUCGUGCCAGCAGCCGC
This 443-nucleotide ribosomal RNA is filed under the name uncultured bacterium. RNAcentral's name for it is "SSU rRNA". It matches the Rfam family "Bacterial small subunit ribosomal RNA", at positions 26 to 518 of the family's 1533-position model. The record is from RNAcentral.